RNAcentral lists this ribosomal RNA (465 nucleotides) under uncultured bacterium. RNAcentral's name for it is "partial 16S ribosomal RNA". It matches the Rfam family "Bacterial small subunit ribosomal RNA", at positions 28 to 507 of the family's 1533-position model. The record is from RNAcentral.
GACGAACGCUGGCGGCGUGCUUAACACAUGCAAGUCGUACGGUAAGGCCCUUUCGGGGGUACACGAGUGGCGAACGGGUGAGUAACACGUGAGUAACCUGCCCACAACUUUGGGAUAACGCUAGGAAACUGGUGCUAAUACUGGAUAUGUGCUCCUGCUGCAUGGUGGGGGUUGGAAAGCUCCGGCGGUUGUGGAUGGACUCGCGGCCUAUCAGCUUGUUGGUGGGGUAGUGGCCUACCAAGGCGGCGACGGGUAGCCGGCCUGAGAGGGUGACCGGCCACAUUGGGACUGAGAUACGGCCCAGACUCCUACGGGAGGCAGCAGUGGGGAAUAUUGCACAAUGGGCGCAAGCCUGAUGCAGCAACGCCGCGUGCGGGAUGACGGCCUUCGGGUUGUAAACCGCUUUCAGCAGGGACGAAGCUUUUUGUGACGGUACCUGCAGAAGAGGCACCGGCUAACUACGUG